Molecule: ribosomal RNA, 253 nt
Filed under: uncultured bacterium
Lineage: Bacteria
Description: partial 16S ribosomal RNA
Rfam family: Bacterial small subunit ribosomal RNA
Source: RNAcentral
UACGGGGGGGGCAAGCGUUGUUCGGAAUUAUUGGGCGUAAAGAGCUCGUAGGCGGUCUGUCGCGUCGGCUGUGAAAACCCGGGGCUCAACCCCGGGCCUGCAGUCGAUACGGGCAGACUAGAGUGCGGUAGGGGAGACUGGAAUUCCUGGUGUAGCGGUGAAAUGCGCAGAUAUCAGGAGGAACACCGGUGGCGAAGGCGGGUCUCUGGGCCGUAACUGACGCUGAGGAGCGAAAGCGUGGGGAGCGAACAGG